This 409-nucleotide ribosomal RNA is filed under the name Pseudomonas sp. R-35715. RNAcentral describes it as "bacterial SSU rRNA". It matches the Rfam family "Bacterial small subunit ribosomal RNA", at positions 971 to 1379 of the family's 1533-position model. The record is from RNAcentral. Lineage: Bacteria; Pseudomonadati; Pseudomonadota; Gammaproteobacteria; Pseudomonadales; Pseudomonadaceae.
UUACCAGGCCUUGACAUCCAAUGAACUUUCCAGAGARGGAUUGGUGCCUUCGGGARCAUUGAGACAGGUGCUGCAUGGCUGUYGUCAGCUCGUGUCGUGAGAUGUUGGGUUAAGUCCCGUAACGAAMGCAAACCUUGUCCUUAGUUACCAGCACGUAAUGGUGGGCACUCUAAGGAGACUGCCGGUGACAAACCGGAGGAAGGUGGGGAUGACGUCAAGUCAUCAUGGCCCUUACGGCCUGGGCUACACACGUGCUACAAUGGUCGGUACAAAGGGUUGCCAAGCCGCGAGGUGGAGCUAAUCCCAUAAAACCGAUCGUAGUCCGGAUCGCAGUCUGCAACUCGWYUGRGGGAAGUCGGAAUCGCUAGUAAUCGUGAAUCAGAAUGUCACGGUGAAUACGUUCCCGGGC